This 485-nucleotide ribosomal RNA is filed under the name Ischnochiton hakodaensis. RNAcentral describes it as "partial 16S ribosomal RNA". It matches the Rfam family "Bacterial large subunit ribosomal RNA", at positions 1856 to 2601 of the family's 2925-position model. Lineage: Eukaryota; Metazoa; Mollusca; Polyplacophora; Chitonida; Ischnochitonidae. The record is from RNAcentral.
UACCUGCCCGGUGAAAAAUUUUAACGGCCGCAGUACCCUGACUGUGCAAAGGUAGCAUAAUCACUUGCCUUUUAAUUGGAGGCUGGAAUGAAUGGUUUGACGGAAUCCUACUGUCUCUAUUUCGUUAGACAGAAAUUAAUUUUCAGGUGAAGAAGCCUAAAUUUAAUCGAAAGACGAAAAGACCCUGUCGAACUUUAUGAAGAGUAUGGAAUCGUUAUUUGUAGUAUAAAUGUUUUUUGUAAUUUUCUUUUUGUUGGGGUGACAGAAGAACAAAUGAAGCUUCUUUUAGUUUUGUAAAUUGAUGAAUUAAAAAGAUCCAUAAAUAAAUUUAUGAUAAAAAGAUUAGUUACCGCAGGGAUAACAGCGUUAUUUCUCUGGAGAGUUCAAAUUGAAGGAGAAGAUUGCGACCUCGAUGUUGGAUUGAAAUUCCUAACAGGCGCAGAAGCUUGUUGGAGGAGGUCUGUUCGACCUUUAAAUUUUCACGU